RNAcentral lists this ribosomal RNA (519 nucleotides) under uncultured Actinomycetes bacterium. Its description in RNAcentral is "bacterial SSU rRNA". It matches the Rfam family "Bacterial small subunit ribosomal RNA", at positions 223 to 752 of the family's 1533-position model. Lineage: Bacteria; Bacillati; Actinomycetota; Actinomycetes. The record is from RNAcentral.
GGAUGAGCCCGCGGCCUAUCAGCUUGUUGGUGGGGUAAUGGCCUACCAAGGCUUCGACGGGUAGCCGGCCUGAGAGGGUGACCGGCCACACUGGGACUGAGACACGGCCCAGACUCCUACGGGAGGCAGCAGUGGGGAAUAUUGGACAAUGGGCGAAAGCCUGAUCCAGCAACGCCGCGUGAGGGAUGACGACCUUCGGGUUGUAAACCUCUUUCAGCACAGACGAAGCGAAAGUGACGGUAUGUGCAGAAGAAGCACCGGCCAACUACGUGCCAGCAGCCGCGGUAAUACAUAGGGUGCGAGCGUUGUCCGGAAUUAUUGGGCGUAAAGGGCUCGUAGGCGGUUUGUUGCGUCAGGAGUGAAAACUCGGGGCUUAACCCCGAGCCUGCUUCUGAUACGGGCAGACUUGAGGUAUGCAGGGGAGAACGGAAUUCCUGGUGUAGCGGUGAAAUGCGCAGAUAUCAGGAGGAACACCGGUGGCGAAGGCGGUUCUCUUGGGCAUUACCUGACGCUUGAAGA